CAAUCCGCCAUAUUGAUAGAUGACGAUAGAAGACACAUGGCUUCCUAGCAAAAUCGCUUAAGUGAUUUUGUUUCUUAUAAAUAUUGAAUAUUAAUGUGUAAAUUGUGAAAAUAGGACGGAUUAAAUAUGGUAAAGUGCAAUGCCCCACUUUAUAGGAGUGCUACAUAUAAUAAAACACCUGAAAUAACAUUUCAUAAAUUUCCAAAUGAUGUCCACUGGAGAAAUUCCUGGUUGGCAAAUAUGAAUAUGACAAAUUGGCAGCCCACAAAAUCUUGUGUGUUAUGUUCAAAACAUUUUGAAAAUGAAUAAAGUAGUAAAUUGUUUGAUUUGUCAAUCAUUAAUGAUAGGCGUAAAAGAAAAUUUCUUGUGUUCAUUAAUAAACAAAAAGAUAGAGGAGGUUUGAUUUACCCAUCAGAUGGUCUGAUUAAAAUUAUUCAAUCAUGUAAGAAGGUUUCGCAGAUGAUUAAAGGAAAAAUAUUAA
Long non-coding RNA from Melitaea cinxia (Glanville fritillary), 481 nucleotides. RefSeq lists it as uncharacterized. The transcript is spliced from 2 exons. NCBI's taxonomy places the organism in Eukaryota, Metazoa, Arthropoda, Insecta, Lepidoptera, Nymphalidae. The record is from RefSeq and is a predicted model, not a curated record.